RNAcentral lists this ribosomal RNA (111 nucleotides) under Castor canadensis (American beaver). Lineage: Eukaryota; Metazoa; Chordata; Mammalia; Rodentia; Castoridae. The record is from RNAcentral.
GUCUAUGGCCAAACCACCCUGAAUGUGCCUGAUCUCUUCCGAUCUCGGAAGCUAAGCAGGAUUGGGCCUGGUUAGUACUUGGAUGGGAGAAACAAUUGCUCAGCACAUACA